Molecule: long non-coding RNA, 871 nt
Filed under: Panax ginseng (ginseng)
Lineage: Eukaryota; Viridiplantae; Streptophyta; Magnoliopsida; Apiales; Araliaceae
Description: long non-coding RNA (PGIN_LNC018051)
Source: RNAcentral
AAAAAUAAAAAAUAGUCUGGCAUCCACAUAAACAAAACAGGUCAAAACCCAGUUUCAAAAGUACAAAAACCAGUUUCAAAAGUAUCCAACACGACCAAUGUAUAAUUAUUGAAGAAUUGAGAGGGAAAAGUUACCUUGCACAAGAGUAUUGGUUGCUUCAGGACCAGAUUCUCCCUCGUUGUGAAUUUCCUAAACGGACUCUGUCAACCAUAAAUGAGCUAAUGAGUUAAACAAAUAAAACAAGUAAAAAGGUAUAAAUGAAUUAGCUAAAACAGAAAACAUCUAAAAUACACAUUACCAUCUUCAAUUUGAAAAACAAGUUUUGAACGUCUUGUUUCCCAAUCAUUGAGUUCCUUACGGCAGAUUAUUCUAUAAUCAGUUGUUUUAUUACUUUUCCUAUCCUUGUGGUAAGGAACAAAAAUAUCACUCCGAGGGAUAACCUGAUCCUCCGCCUUCCCGAACUUGAAGGGACAAAGAUCAGGCCUUUGAAAGGCGAUUCUUUCAUAAUAAAUCAUAGUUGUGCAUGAAAAUGCACAAUAUGUUUGCUGAGCAAGAUUAUGAGGCAAGAAACUUGCCUUAAGCCUAUUGAAAGGCCUCCACUCGAUCUAACAGAAAAAAAAAAGAUAGAAUGUUAAUUAAAAUCCAAAUAGCUUAAUGAACAUUCAAAAGAGUGCAAUAAAGGUAGACAUUCAAAAAGGAUUAUGAUAUUGUGAUGGUGAUUAAUAUAUUAUUUGGCAUUUGACCCAAAAAAGAAAACUUACCGGGAGCUCGAGGAGUUUAGCCCGACAAAUCUCCAUUUUAUUAGGAUUGUGUUUAUUCUUGGAAGAAACUACCAGCAUGUUGCUCCACCCCACCAUGAAAGGAAAUCCUC